GUAGGCCUACGGGACGCAGCAGUCGAGAAUCAUUCACAAUGGGGGAAACCCUGAUGGUGCGACGCCGCGUGGGGGAAUGAAGGUCUUCGGAUUGUAAACCCCUGUCAUGUGGGAGCAAAUUAAAAAGAUAGUACCACAAGAGGAAGAGACGGCUAACUCUGUGCCAGCAGCCGCGGUAAUACAGAGGUCUCAAGCGUUGUUCGGAAUCACUGUGCGUAAAGCGUGCGUAGGCUGUUUCGUAAGUCGUGUGUGAAAGGCGCGGGCUCAACCCGCGGACGGCACAUGAUACUGCCAGCCUAGAGUCA
Molecule: ribosomal RNA, 305 nt
Filed under: uncultured bacterium
Lineage: Bacteria
Description: bacterial SSU rRNA
Rfam family: Bacterial small subunit ribosomal RNA
Source: RNAcentral